GACGAACGCUGGCGGCGCGCCUAACACAUGCAAGUCGAACGGAGUCAAGAGGAGCUUGCUUUUCUUGACUUAGUGGCGAACGGGUGAGUAACGCGUGAGUAACCUGCCCUGGAGUGGGGGACAACAGUUGGAAACGACUGCUAAUACCGCAUAAGCCCACGGAUCCGCAUGGAUCUGCGGGAAAAGGAUUUAUUCGCUUCAGGAUGGACUCGCGUCCAAUUAGCUAGUUGGUGAGGUAACGGCCCACCAAGGCGACGAUUGGUAGCCGGACGGAGAGGUUGAACGGCCACAUUGGGAAUGAGACACGGCCCAGACUCCUACGGGAGGCAGCAGUGGGGGAUAUUGCACAAUGGGGAAACCCUGAUGCAGCGACGCCGCGUGGAGGAAGAAGGUUUUCGGAUUGUAAACUCCUGUCGUCAGGGACGAUAAUGACGGUACCUAAAAAGAAAGCACCGGCUAACUACGUG
RNAcentral lists this ribosomal RNA (467 nucleotides) under uncultured bacterium. RNAcentral describes it as "partial 16S ribosomal RNA". It matches the Rfam family "Bacterial small subunit ribosomal RNA", at positions 28 to 507 of the family's 1533-position model. The record is from RNAcentral.